Molecule: ribosomal RNA, 274 nt
Filed under: uncultured bacterium
Lineage: Bacteria
Description: partial 16S ribosomal RNA
Rfam family: Bacterial small subunit ribosomal RNA
Source: RNAcentral
AUACAGAGGGUGCGAGCGUUAAUCGGAAUUACUGGGCGUAAAGCGCGCGUAGGCGGCUUAUUAAGUCAGAUGUGAAAUCCCCGGGCUCAACCUGGGAACUGCAUCUGAUACUGGUAAGCUAGAGUUUUGGAGAGGGAAGUAGAAUUUCAGGUGUAGCGGUGAAAUGCAUAGAGAUCUGAAGGAAUACCAGUGGCGAAGGCGACUUCCUGGCCAAAAACUGACGCUGAGGUGCGAAAGCGUGGGUAGCAAACGGGAUUAGAAACCCUUGUAGUCC